AUACGGAGGAUCCGAGCGUUAUCCGGAUUUAUUGGGUUUAAAGGGUGCGCAGGCGGGAGAUUAAGUCGGCGGUGAAAUUUUGCAGCUCAACUGUAAAAGUGCCUUCGAAACUGGUUUCCUUGAGUGUAGAUGAAGUAGGCGGAAUUUGUGGUGUAGCGGUGAAAUGCAUAGAUAUCACGAGGAACUCCGAUUGCGCAGGCAGCUUACUAAACUACUACUGACGCUCAGGCACGAAGGCGUGGGGAUCAAACAGGAUUAGAUACCCUGGUAGUCCACGCAGUAAACGAUGAUUACUAGCUGUUUGCGAUACAAUGUAAGCGGCUGAGCGAAAGCGUUAAGUAAUCCACCUGGGGAGUACGUUCGCAAGAAUGAAACUUAAAGGAAUUGGCGGGG
RNAcentral lists this ribosomal RNA (393 nucleotides) under uncultured bacterium. RNAcentral describes it as "partial 16S ribosomal RNA". It matches the Rfam family "Bacterial small subunit ribosomal RNA", at positions 523 to 918 of the family's 1533-position model. The record is from RNAcentral.